Molecule: ribosomal RNA, 232 nt
Filed under: uncultured Enterobacterales bacterium
Lineage: Bacteria; Pseudomonadati; Pseudomonadota; Gammaproteobacteria; Enterobacterales
Description: partial 16S ribosomal RNA
Rfam family: Bacterial small subunit ribosomal RNA
Source: RNAcentral
CGGACGGGUGAGUAAUGUCUGGGAAACUGCCUGAUGGAGGGGGAUAACUACUGGAAACGGUAGCUAAUACCGCAUAAUGUCGCAAGACCAAAGAGGGGGACCUUCGGGCCUCUUGCCAUCAGAUGUGCCCAGAUGGGAUUAGCUAGUAGGUGGGGUAACGGCUCACCUAGGCGACGAUCCCUAGCUGGUCUGAGAGGAUGACCAGCCACACUGGAACUGAGACACGGUCCAG